UACGUAGGGUCCGAGCGUUGUCCGGAGUUACUGGGCGUAAAGCGCGCGCAGGCGGGUCUCCAAGCCCGGCGUGAAAGCCCCCGGCUCAACCGGGGAGGGUCGUCGGGGACUGGGGAGCUUGAGGACGGCAGGGGUCGGUGGAAUUCCCGGUGUAGUGGUGAAAUGCGUAGAGAUCGGGAGGAACACCCGUGGCGAAGGCGGCCGACUGGGCCGGACCUGACGCUGAGGCGCGAAGGCGUGGGGAGCGAACGGG
This 253-nucleotide ribosomal RNA is filed under the name uncultured bacterium. RNAcentral's name for it is "partial 16S ribosomal RNA". It matches the Rfam family "Bacterial small subunit ribosomal RNA", at positions 524 to 776 of the family's 1533-position model. The record is from RNAcentral.